RNAcentral lists this long non-coding RNA (1041 nucleotides) under Volvox carteri. RNAcentral describes it as "long non-coding RNA (VCAR_LNC002138)". Lineage: Eukaryota; Viridiplantae; Chlorophyta; Chlorophyceae; Chlamydomonadales; Volvocaceae. The record is from RNAcentral.
GAAAAUGCAGAGAUGGACUUUGGAUCCCUGUCACAAUUACUACAAAGGGAGAGAAUGCGAUUGUUACAGUGGACCCUGAACGGGUCGAGUGCAGCGCCCCUAGGAACGCCUCACGCACAACACUGUGGGCCUUAUUCAAAAAGAACUCGGCCUGGCCGUACUAACUUCACUGGACACAAGGCCUCAGUUAGUACACUCAGACAGAAAAUAUGAGGCUCCGACGUGAGCCCUCAGACCUCGUCAUUGUACAUAUGGAACGCCAUACGAACACACAACUGUGUUGAAGGAAAUUUCAGCCGCUUUAACAGGGUCAACAGAGGCUUUGCAGGGCAAAAUUCGCACCAUCUUGGUGAGCUUGCCCACAAACACGUGAAUCGGGGUAUUGCCAUCAGGUUCGGGGCCGCGCUUUGGCCGACAAACCUUCAGCAGUCUCGCGUCACUGCGUUCAAUCACGCUACACAAUUCCCAGGAAAUAGGCAGUCACGCACAAUCGCAAAGCGAAGGCAAGAACAAGAAGGGCCACAGCUGCGGGCGGCAAAUGACAUUUCGGUGUGGCGGCCCUUUCUCCAAUUGCUCCGGGAACUGAGGUUUACUGUUGUCGUCCAAAGGGCAGAGAAGGCGGGUCAGAAGAGGUCAGAGAAACAGGCCGUAACCAACGGCACGGUGUUACAUCAACGCGCGGCAGCAAAAUACCGCCCACUUAAGCACUAUAACCACUGCCUUAUACCCGCAUUGCCGUUGGCACCUGUUCGGGAGCCUCCAUCAUAGCAAAAUAGCGAUUCGGUUGAAGUUAUUUGGCACUUUGUUUUAACUGCACCCAUCGAACCAAUCUUACCGUGCAGUGUUGUCAUCUUAAGAAGAAGGUUAGACUGCCCAGCCCAAAUGGACGAAGUAGCUCGGUCGCCCAGCUGGAAACCAGAGCAAUAUCACGUAUACGUCAGGAGUAAUUUUGUCGUCCUCCCUGGAAUUUGUAAAUGAUGCAAAACAGUUACCUAUUUUGAAUGUAUAUGCAUAUGCACACAAAUUCUGCUGGCUAACCCG